UAGGUAAUCUUCCACAAUGGACGCAAGUCUGAUGGAGCAACGCCGCGUGAGUGAAGAAGGUUUUCGGAUCGUAAAGCUCUGUUGUUGGUGAAGAAGGAUAGAGGCAGUAACUGGUCUUUAUUUGACGGUAAUCAACCAGAAAGUCACUGCUAACUACGUGCCAGCAGCCGCGGUAAUACGUAGGUGGCAAGCGUUGUCCGGAUUUAUUGGGCGUAAAGCGAGCGCAGGCGGAAUGAUAAGUCUGAUGUGAAAGCCCACGGCUCAACCGUGGAACUGCAUCGGAAACUGUCAUUCUUGAGUGCAGAAGAGGAGAGUGGAAUUCCAUGUGUAGCGGUGGAAUGCGUAGAUAUAUGGAAGAACACCAGUGGCGAAGGCGGCUCUCUGGUCUGCAACUGACGCUGAGGCUCGAAAGCAUGGGUAGCGAACAGG
RNAcentral lists this ribosomal RNA (429 nucleotides) under bacterium. RNAcentral describes it as "partial 16S ribosomal RNA". It matches the Rfam family "Bacterial small subunit ribosomal RNA", at positions 355 to 776 of the family's 1533-position model. The record is from RNAcentral.